Molecule: transfer RNA, 75 nt
Filed under: Caudoviricetes sp.
Lineage: Duplodnaviria; Heunggongvirae; Uroviricota; Caudoviricetes
Description: tRNA-Thr
Rfam family: tRNA
About the family: Transfer RNA (tRNA) molecules are approximately 80 nucleotides in length.
Source: RNAcentral
GCAGGAGUGGCGUAAAGGUAGCGCAACUGAUUUGUAAUCAGUAGAUUGUUGGUUCAACUCCGACCUUCUGCUCCA